Molecule: long non-coding RNA, 578 nt
Filed under: Cricetulus griseus (Chinese hamster)
Lineage: Eukaryota; Metazoa; Chordata; Mammalia; Rodentia; Cricetidae
Description: lncRNA (ENSCGRG00015030853.1)
Source: RNAcentral
AGGCCGGCGCCGGAGCUGGGUCAGCGCAGUCAGUGAAAGCAGUGUACCGCCAUCUUUUUUGUGGGCAAAGAGUCCUUCGAGGUUUAUGUUUCCAAAGUAGGCUUCUCAGGAAGCCCAUAGAGAGACGUUCGAAAGAGAAUGGGCUCCUUGCACACUGAAAUACUGAGCCGAAUGGUUGGGGGUCGAAGUGGCAACCCAUGAAACCGAGAAUAAACGAGAGGCCUGCCCUGAGUAAAGAUGGGGAAACUGAGGCAUAGAGAGAUCAGAUCACUGUGCUGGCAUGGCUGCCUCCCAGGAAGAAAGCCAGACUUCAAGCCCUGUGCCUGACUCCAGAACCUGUGCUCUUUGUCCUGUACCACACCACAUCCGGAUACUGAGGCCAGUCGCUGUCAGAUGCCAUAGUGGCAUGGAAGCCAUGUAUAUUCAGAAAAAAGGCGCUUUGUGUUUGGAAUCUGAAUCUUCCCCCAGCCCAGUGGUAGGGAUUGAUUCAUCUCAGAAUUACAGAAGACCUAAAGCCAAGAAUCACCAGGAACACAGAGAGGCCAAAUCUCCCGUGGUUUCCUAAGCCUGGCCAAUGG